GACGAACGCUGGCGGCGUGCUUAACACAUGCAAGUCGAACGGAAAGGCCCUGCUUUUGUGGGGUGCUCGAGUGGCGAACGGGUGAGUAACACGUGAGUAACCUGCCCUUGACUUUGGGAUAACUUCAGGAAACUGGGGCUAAUACCGGAUAGGAGCUCCUGCUGCAUGGUGGGGGUUGGAAAGUUUCGGCGGUUGGGGAUGGACUCGCGGCUUAUCAGCUUGUUGGUGGGGUAGUGGCUUACCAAGGCUUUGACGGGUAGCCGGCCUGGGAGGGUGACCGGGCACCAUGGGCCUGGGGUACGGCCCAGUAUCCUACCGGGGGCAAGAGUGGGGAAUAUUGCCAAAUUGGGCGGAGCCUGAUGCAACAACCCCGGGUUCGGGAAGACGGGCUUCGGGGUGUGAACCGCUUUCGCCUGUGCCGGAGCCUUAGUGACGGUAAUUGGUAAAAAAGCCACGGCUAACUACGUG
This 468-nucleotide ribosomal RNA is filed under the name uncultured bacterium. RNAcentral describes it as "partial 16S ribosomal RNA". It matches the Rfam family "Bacterial small subunit ribosomal RNA", at positions 28 to 507 of the family's 1533-position model. The record is from RNAcentral.